GAGAAAUGAGGAUACAGACUAUAUCUUAAUUCUGUAGUGAAGACUUCAGAUCCAACUCUGAUCUCACGCUGGAG
Small nucleolar RNA from Bubo bubo (Eurasian eagle-owl), 74 nucleotides. Lineage: Eukaryota; Metazoa; Chordata; Aves; Strigiformes; Strigidae. The record is from Ensembl.